AACGCUAGCGGCAGGCCUAAUACAUGCAAGUCGAACGGUAACAUUGGUGCUUGCACCAGAUGACGAGUGGCGCACGGGUGCGUAACGCGUAUGCAACCUACCUUUUACUAGAGUAUAGCCCAGAGAAAUUUGGAUUAAUCCUCUAUAAUAUCUUUUAAUCUCAUGAUUUUAAGAUUAAAGUUUUAACGGUAAAAGAUGGGCAUGCGUCCUAUUAGUUUGUAGGUGAGGUAACGGCUCACCUAGACUACGAUAGGUAGGGGCCCUGAGAGGGGGAUCCCCCACACUGGUACUGAGACACGGACCAGACUCCUACGGGAGGCAGCAGUAAGGAAUAUUGGACAAUGGACGAAAGUCUGAUCCAGCCAUGCCGCGUGCAGGAUGACAGCCCUACGGGUUGUAAACUGCUUUUAUACAGGAAGAAACACUCCGACGUGUCGGAGCUUGACGGUACUGUAAGAAUAAGGAUCGG
Molecule: ribosomal RNA, 469 nt
Filed under: uncultured Bacteroidota bacterium
Lineage: Bacteria; Pseudomonadati; Bacteroidota
Description: bacterial SSU rRNA
Rfam family: Bacterial small subunit ribosomal RNA
Source: RNAcentral